UUAAGCAUAUCAAUAAGCGGAGGAAAAGAAACCAACAGGGAUUGCCUUAGUAGCGGCGAGCGAAGCGGCAACAGCUCAAAUUUGAAAUCUGGCUACUUUGUAGUCCGAGUUGUAAUUUGUAGAGGAUGCUUUUGGUGAGGUGCCUUCCGAGUUCCCUGGAACGGGACGCCAGAGAGGGUGAGAGCCCCGUACGGUUGGAUACCAAACCUUUGUAUAGCUCCUUCAACGAGUCGAGUAGUUUGGGAAUGCUGCUCUAAAUGGGAGGUAUAUCUCUUCUAAAGCUAAAUACCGGCUAGAGACCGAUAGCGCACAAGUAGAGUGAUCGAAAGAUGAAAAGCACUUUGAAAAGAGAGUUAAACAGCACGUGAAAUUGUUGAAAGGGAAGCGCCUAUGACCAGACUUGUUUCUGUCAGUUUUGCUCGUUCUCGGACCUGCUUACUCUGUCAGUACAGGCCAACAUCAGUUUGUUGUUUGGGAGAAAGGCUUAGGGAAUGUGGCUCUUUCGGGAGUGUUAUAGCCCUUUGCAUAAUACCAUUCGGCAGACUGAGGACCGCGCUUCGGCAAGGAUGUUGGCGUAAUGGUCAUCAGCGACCCGUCUUGAAACACGGACCAAGGAGUCAACCUUAUGUGCGAGUGUUUGGGUGUAAAACCCCAGCGCGUAAUGAACGUGAACGUAGGUGAGAGCUUCGGCGCAUCAUCGACCGAUUCUGAUGUUCUCGGAUGGAUUUGAGUAAGAGCAUAUAGGGUUGGACCCGAAAGAAGGUGAACUAUGCUUGUAUAGGGUGAAGCCAGAGGAAACUCUGGUGGAGGCUCGCAGCGGUUCUGACGUGCAAAUCGAUCGUCAAAUAUGAGCAUGGGGGCGAAAGACUAAUCGAACCUUCUAGUAGCUGGUUCCAGCCGAAGU
RNAcentral lists this ribosomal RNA (904 nucleotides) under Davidsoniella virescens. Its description in RNAcentral is "LSU rRNA". It matches the Rfam family "Eukaryotic large subunit ribosomal RNA", at positions 34 to 967 of the family's 3401-position model. The record is from RNAcentral. Lineage: Eukaryota; Fungi; Ascomycota; Sordariomycetes; Microascales; Ceratocystidaceae.